RNAcentral lists this ribosomal RNA (253 nucleotides) under uncultured bacterium. RNAcentral describes it as "partial 16S ribosomal RNA". It matches the Rfam family "Bacterial small subunit ribosomal RNA", at positions 524 to 776 of the family's 1533-position model. The record is from RNAcentral.
UACAUGGGGUGCAAACGUUGCUCGGAAUUAUUGGGCGUAAAGCGCGCGUAGGCGGUUAUCUAAGUCGGAUGUGAAAGCCCUCGGCUUAACUGAGGAAGUGCACCCGAAACUGGGUAGCUAGAGUACUAAAGAGGGUCGCGGAAUUCCCGGUGUAGAGGUGAAAUUCGUAGAUAUCGGGAGGAACACCGGUGGCGAAGGCGGCGACCUGGGUAGAUACUGACGCUGAGGCGCGAAAGCGUGGGGAGCAAACAGG